GACGAACGCUGGCGGCGUGCUUAACACAUGCAAGUCGAACGGAAAGGCCCUGCUUUUGUGGGGUGCUCGAGUGGCGAACGGGUGAGUAACACGUGAGUAACCUGCCCUUGACUUUGGGAUAACUUCAGGAAACUGGGGCUAAUACCGGAUAGGAGCUCCUGCUGCAUGGUGGGGGUUGGAAAGUUUCGGCGGUUGGGGAUGGACUCGCGGCUUAUCAGCUUGUUGGUGGGGUAGUGGCUUACCAAGGCUUUGACGGGUAGCCGGCCUGAGAGGGUGACCGGCCACAUUGGGACUGAGAUACGGCCCAGACUCCUACGGGAGGCAGCAGUGGGGAAUAUUGCGCAAUGGGCGGAAGCCUGAUGCAGCAACGCCGCGUGCGGGAUGACGGCCUUCGGGUUGUAAACCACUUUCGCCUGUGACGAAGCGUGAGUGACGGUAAUGGGUAAAGAAGCACCGGCUAACUACGUG
This 468-nucleotide ribosomal RNA is filed under the name uncultured bacterium. RNAcentral's name for it is "partial 16S ribosomal RNA". It matches the Rfam family "Bacterial small subunit ribosomal RNA", at positions 28 to 507 of the family's 1533-position model. The record is from RNAcentral.